This is a long non-coding RNA of Aethalodelphis obliquidens (Pacific white-sided dolphin), 4339 nucleotides long. RefSeq lists it as uncharacterized. NCBI's taxonomy places the organism in Eukaryota, Metazoa, Chordata, Mammalia, Artiodactyla, Delphinidae. The record is from RefSeq and is a predicted model, not a curated record. The transcript has 3 exons.
GAGGCAUCCAGCCUGCUUGUGGGUGUCUGGGCAGAUUUUUGAAGGACACUCCAGCUACUGAGACAUGGAGCAAGUCCAUUCUGGCUGUCAGGUGGCAGGUAAUAGCCCAGCCGUUUGCCAUCACUGGAAGUGUUCACACAGAGGAUCAUCAUGUGACCCCAUGAGAAGGUGGAGCCCAGCGGCAGAGAGUUCAAAGCGUUUGCACAACCUGGCAGAGGAAGAAACUGAGGCUUGGAGAGUAACUUGCCCAAGGAUGCACAGCAAGUAGCAGAGAUGGGAUCAACGCAGGCAGUCUGGCUCCAGUGUUCAUAGUCAACCACUUCAUCCAACACCCCUCAAAGCAGAUGCUCCUUUAAGUGUUACAGAGUUUGAGAAGCUUGACCAGGACUGACCCUGCAGACAAGGAAAGUGAGGCUGAGGUUCACUCAGCUAGUAAGUGUUGGAGAACAAGAAUCAAAUCAAGUCUAAUUCCAAGGUUGCACUCUUCCUAUCCACGUCAUGCUGCCUUCUCAGGAUAACAAGCAGUUUACUCCUCUCCUUAAGUGACACCUUUUAAGAACCAAUGUGUUUGCUUAUGACACGUCUCAGUCUUGUUAGUGACCUGGAAGGUCUGGGGCCCACUCAACACUUGUUCUUCUAAUGAACCUCCUAUUCUUGCUGCUGAAUAAAUAUGAUGUACACCUGUGUUAUCGAGGGGAGCCAUAGAUGAGCACCUGCUGGGUACCCCUACAGGUAGAUGUGACAUCCCAAGAGGUCUACACUGCUCAGCAGAUGCCAUACGAUGUGUUUUACCCUGGAAAGAUUUAUUUGUGGUACAAAGAGUCAGAAACUCACAGAGAUAAUCCCACACUGGCACCUGAUGCCUCACAACGAAGGCGACUCACUUAACCUCUCAGCCUCACCAUCUGCGACCUGGAAGUAAAGAUGGCCAGCUCUUUGGAGGCAUCAUUUGGGGCAGCUUCAGAAAUGGCCUGGAAGACCGUGGCAGAUGGAAAUGCUAUAUUGACAGCAAGAACGUUAACUGAAAAUAAUCGGUAUUUAUAGAAUGCCAUCCUUAAGGAUCCUAAAUUUCUUGUGGCCGUCAUUCCCAAGCCUUGGGAAUUGGAAGAAUUGACCUGGAAUGUGGUGAAAAUGUUCACUCCUCCCCCAUCUUCCUUGCCGUUCUGUUUUCAGUUAGAAUCACGAUUUGAGUUCUCGCCGAAAACAGAACGCUGGGUCAAGGGGGAGGUUUGGGAUUAUUAAGGACCAUCCAUCUUCUGAGAGUGAAUGUGCUUCUGCAUCAAAGUCUCCUUUCGAUUUCUUUCUUUGAUAAAAUGUAUUCAGCAACCAGGCUCUGGGGCAGACACUCCUCUCCCUUAGUCUUCCUCCCUCAGUCAAGUUAUUUAAUUAUAUUGUUUUUACUAUCCCUUACUGUCUGGCUUUUGGAUACCCAUGUAAUUAUCUGAUUAGUUCCUAUGUAAAAUCCUUGCUUUUGGUUUUCCUUCCAAUAUGCUAAAGAUACUUCUAGUGGCAAAGAGCUGGCGCUGGUACAUUAAACAGCCCAGAAUAGCGUGGAGCCAGAUGAAAAAGGGUCUCAUCUUACUUUAUAUUAGAGCUCCAGAGCUGGAGAGACUCUUUCCUGCCCAUGUUGAAGGUCUGCUUGGAAGAGAUCCGCACCAUAGCACUAUUCUGCAGCAUGGGUCCCAUUUACCUUUAUUAAUAAACAGCACAGUUACAGGUUCCAAAUAAAGAGGGCAGUGCAAUCCCAUUAUACUAAUUGUUCCCUAUGAUGAGUAGGAAGUGUCUAAUUGAACUUAUUUGAGAUGCCACCUUUAUGUUCUCUCAGAACUUUCUACUUGCUUGGGGUUCAUGCCAUUCUCGGUGUCUCUGUUUGUUUAAAAGAAGACUGAGAGAGAUUUGGAGCUGCCUAACUUGUGUCGGAACGUUUCUAGCCUGCGCAUUUCCUGGUAAUCAGCUAUUUGGUCAGAUACGUAGAGUUAUUUGAUCGGACGUUUAGUCCUCAAAUGAUGGUCACUGCGUGGGAACAAAGCGAAAAUGAUUUAAUUUACACAAAUGCCGUUGUUUAAUCACUCAUUUGCUGUAAACUUGUUUCAAAACGAAUGGAAUAUCUCUCUAGACCAGCACGGUUCCACUGCUGCAUAUAAAUGAAUAAUUAGCCAAGAGAAUCUAUAAAUGGCAUUAUUUUCUACCAUUCUAGUUUGCUUUCUGCUGCUGGACUUCUUUAAGGACUUGAAAAUAUACUUUCUGAUCAUAGCACUUUUCCAAGAAGUAGAGAGAAUUGUUAGAGGGACCCAAAUGGCUGUUUAUUUGUUAUCUGAGGUAGACAGAAUUGAGAUAAUUCAUGAAACACUGUCAUUCUUGCAAGACCCCUAUUUUAUUUUAUUAUUUUAUUUCAUCUUAUUUUGUUUCUGCCUUGGUCUCCAUCCCUAAUACCCCUAGCACUCCCAUGAACACCUUUUUAAAAGAGUUUUUAUAUAGAUUCUUCUAAUUCACCUUCCAUGUGUUUAUUUAGUUUGUGUUUAUUUGAAAGAUUUUAUUGUGUCAUUUUUGUAUGCAUCUUAAAGUUGUAUAAAUGGUAAUGUGCUAUGCAUCUCAUUCUCUUUCUGACUUUUCAUUUGAAGGAGUGUUUUGACAACUACACAUUUUUCUCUGUAUAAAUCCAGUUCAUUGCUUCUGAGUCCUACAGAUUAUUUCAAUACCGAUGCGUAUACCAUUUCUGAUUCUUGCAUAGAGCCCGUUUUACUUAUUCAUUUCCCUAGUGGAUAUCUAACAGGUACUUAGAUUCUCUAGAGGGUACUUGAUUGCUUUCAACUUUUUGGUACCACAAAUAAUGCUACAGCAAUACUCUAUCAUCAUGUUUCCUUAUGGAUUUCUGAGCAAGAGAUUCUCUAGAGUUUAUUCCCAAGAGUGGAGCUUCUGAGUUGUAAGGGUAUAUACACAGUUUACUUCAUUAAGUACUUUCAAAUUGCUAUACAGAAUGUUUGCACUUCACCACCAGUGAGGGUGAAAUUUCCCCACAUCCUUGCCAGCACUUUAUAAUUUUUGCCAAUUUGGUAGGUAGAAAAUAAUAUCUCAUUUUUUAAAUUUUGCAUGUCUCUGAUUACUAAUGAGGAUGUAUAUCUUCCAUAUACUAUAGUAGCUGUUUCCACUUCCCCAUCUGUCAAUUGCCUGUACAUGUCCAUUGCCCAUUUUUUUCUUUUAAAUUUGCUCUCUUUUUCUUAUUUGUUUGUGAAGUUUCUUAUAUAUUCUAGAUACCAAUUCCACGUCUCUUUUGUAAAUAUCUUUUUCACAAUAUUUUGCUGAUUUGUCAGUAAUGGAAGUCUUUAAUUUAGAUGUGGUCAUAUCUACCAAAUUCUUUUCCAUUAACAGAUUUUCAUGAGCAACCUCUGUGUAAAAUCUUUGUUUUUCAUUCUGAUAUGCUAAAUGUGUAUGUAAUAGCAAAGAGCUGGCUUUGGUACCUUAAGCAGCCCAGAAUAGAGUGGUGUCAGAACAGGUCUCAUCUCACUUUAUAUUGGAGGUCCAAAGCUUUAGACACUCUCCCCGCUGUUGCUGCAUUGCUUAGAACAAAGCCACAUCAUAGCUUAUUUAGCAGUGUGGAUUCCACUUAUUUUUGUAAAUAAACAGCACAUUUACAUGUUCCAAGUAAGGAUGAUAGUACAUUCUCUUUGUACUAUUGUUCUCUAUAACGAGUAUGGAGAUGACUAAUUAGAAUAUUUUGCAGUGCCACCCUUGAUGUUCAGUCUGAACUUUCUACUCACAUAUUGUUCCGUUUUGCGUUGUUUGUUUUGGUUUUGCUUUGGUUUAGUUUUUUGGAACUUAGGUGUACACUGGUGAUCAAUCAUACUCCUCAGUUUAUGGAUUAUUUCAUUACUUGUCCAUACAAAACUCCUCUUCAUUUCUUUGUUUUUUUAAGAAUAUGUGUACUUAUGUAUCUAUGUAUAGGCAUACGCACACACAUAACAGCUAUCUACCUAUCACAGUAAAUGGAAUUAUUGAUUCCAAGAAUUAAAAUUUCCUACACUGGUAUUAUAUGUCUACAUCCUCGCCGUAGCCUCCUGGUGGGUGGGGCAUUUUUCUUGAUACUUGACUUGGGCUUGGCCAUAUGACUUGCUUCAGCCAAUAGGAUGCUGGUCCCAUUGCAUUAACCUGGUUAAAUUCACACACUUCAGCUCCUGCUCUUCAUCACAAGAAGAACAUACCUUGGGUAGCCACUAGUCUAGGGAGAAUGAGAAGAAACAUAUGGAACAGAUCUGGACUCAACCUGUAGCUUUUUUUUUUUUUAAUGUGUGAUACGUGGGCCUCUCACUGUUGUGGCCUCUCCCGUUGCGGAGCACAGCCU